ACCCAAUAUCCUAAAUUUCUAACGAUGAUUCUGCUUGCUAGAGGAAAACUGGAAUUGGAAAGUGACGAUGCCCUGAGCGUGAGGUUCAAAGUUUGGGGCUUGCUUCUGGAAUUCCGUUGAGAGUUUGCAUUUGCCCAGAUGGGUGUAGGAAAAGAGACUGUCGCUGCUCUUGUUUGAAUCAUUGCUCGGUGCUUUUCUCGAGCAGGUAAAAGCUUUCCAAAUGAACGUAAAUGAAAAUUGCAAAAGGGAGCAACGGUGUUGCUAGUCUAUAGAAAGAAAAGAAAUC
This 286-nucleotide unclassified non-coding RNA is filed under the name Hevea brasiliensis (rubber tree). The record is from RNAcentral. Lineage: Eukaryota; Viridiplantae; Streptophyta; Magnoliopsida; Malpighiales; Euphorbiaceae.